GGAUUAGAUACCCUAUUAUUUGUGAUGUAAAUUAUUUAAACUUGAGUAGUAGUAGUUAUGAUCUUGAAACUUAAAGAAUUUGGCGGUAUUUUAGUCUAUUUAGAGGAAUCUGUUCCGUAAUCGAUAAUCCACGUUGGACCUUACUUAAUUUAUUUAUUUGUAUACCGCCGUUACUGAAGAUUUUUUUAGAGUUAUUUUUAUAAUAUUUUUGGAUAGUAUUUCAGGUCAAGGUGCAGUUUAUAAUUGAGUGGAAAUGGAUUACAAUAUAUUGUUUUAUACGGAUUAUUUUUUGUAAUAUGAAUAUGAAGGUGGAUUUAAUAGUAAUAUUUUAUAUAUUAUAAAUAUGAUUGUAGCUCUGAAAUAUGUACACAUCGCCCGUCGCUCUCGUUAUAUUGAAAUGAGAUAAGUC
This 409-nucleotide ribosomal RNA is filed under the name Ischnoptera sp. 2 DJGI-2006. Its description in RNAcentral is "partial 12S ribosomal RNA". The stretch from base 44 to 409 matches the Rfam family "Microsporidia small subunit ribosomal RNA", at positions 752 to 1270 of the family's 1311-position model. The record is from RNAcentral. Lineage: Eukaryota; Metazoa; Arthropoda; Insecta; Blattodea; Blattellidae.